CAAAAUAUUUCAUGUAACUCAUUGCAGGUUCCAUAUUUACAAGUCUUCAGAGGCUUCUACGAAGAGUAUUGAGGUUCCUGCGAUGCCGCAGAGAUGAGAAUUUUGAAAUAAAACUUUCUGUGCACGAAACAUCACCACUAUACUCUGGCCAGAGCUCUGUCCGUCCAUGGUCUGAUGAUUAUGGAGAAGAUAAUGGCUAUAUAUAAAUAUUAUUAUCAAGGAAAUGAUGACCAACCAAGCUGUUGAACAGUUUGAUUUCAAAUCCUUUUUGAAGCACGCCAUGCAAGUCUGCACUUUUGUGAAAGAAACAAAUGACAACUUAAAGUAAGAGUUGACAUUCAUCAUACAGGAAAGGGAAUUUGAAGUCAGUAACUGUAUGUUUAAGUCAUCCAAUUUUGGUAAAAUAAUGUGAUAUCAUGGUUCUGUAUACUGAAAAUAAUGCACUUAAAUUGUACACGUUUGUGUAAUUUGCACUGUGUAUACAUACAACUGAUAUGGUUUAUUGUAAUGUCGAUGUAUUUGAUAGAUUUCAGUUACGUUUUAGAGCCAGUUAAUUAACUGAUAUCAAUGUUUUUUCUCUUAAUAUAAUUAAAUCGUAGUGCCUCCCCUGAUACACUUGAACGUGAGGAUUGACAUUUAGACACUAGGAACAACUUUUCCUCAGGGUUAGAAAUGUCAUGAUUCAUCAUUUAUUUUAUGUAAAUUUCCUUAAUUUCACAUGGAUGGGUUAUUUUUAACCCAUAAUGGGUAAAUAUUUGACAGAACACAUGCUGGGUUAAAACAGAGCUCACCAUGGAUAUUAAUAAUAACCCAUCAAUUGGGUUGAAACAACCCAGCAUUCGGUCAAUUUUAACCCAUUGGUGUGUUCUGUUCAAUAUUUACCCAUUAUGGGUAAAAAAUAACCCAGACAUUUUUAGAGUGUUAUUUUGGUACCGUUUUCCUGUUCCUUGGUAGAUGAAUGCGGAAGCAAUGCCAAAGUUAAUGCAUUUUAUUCCUCUGGUAAAUGUAUACUGAUAAACUCUAUGGGGAGUUUUUUCAGACAGGGCGUAUCCUAGUCCAAGACUAGAAUGCAUAUCUGAGCUGCUUUAAUUAAAAAAUAUCUUGCACUGACAUAUCUGAGCAUAUAUCAGUGCCAUUGU
Long non-coding RNA from Misgurnus anguillicaudatus (oriental weatherfish), 1139 nucleotides. RefSeq lists it as uncharacterized. The record is from RefSeq and is a predicted model, not a curated record. Lineage: Eukaryota; Metazoa; Chordata; Actinopteri; Cypriniformes; Cobitidae.